CAAGUCGAGCGGAGUGAUGGUGCUUGCACUAUCACUUAGCGGCGGACGGGUGAGUAAUGCUUAGGAAUCUGCCUAUUAGUGGGGGACAACAUUUCGAAAGGAAUGCUAAUACCGCAUACGUCCUACGGGAGAAAGCAGGGGAUCUUCGGACCUUGCGCUAAUAGAUGAGCCUAAGUCGGAUUAGCUAGUUGGUGGGGUAAAGGCCUACCAAGGCGACGAUCUGUAGCGGGUCUGAGAGGAUGAUCCGCCACACUGGGACUGAGACACGGCCCAGACUCCUACGGGAGGCAGCAGUGGGGAAUAUUGGACAAUGGGCGCAAGCCUGAUCCAGCCAUGCCGCGUGUGUGAAGAAGGCCUUAUGGUUGUAAAGCACUUUAAGCGAGGAGGAGGCUACUGAAGUUAAUACCUUCAGAUAGUGGACGUUACUCGCAGAAUAAGCACCGGCUAACUCUGUGCCAGCAGCCGCGGUAAUACAGAGGGUGCAAGCGUUAAUCGGAUUUACUGGGCGUAAAGCGCGCGUAGGCGGCUAAUUAAGUCAAAUGUGAAAUCCCCGAGCUUAACUUGGGAAUUGCAUUCGAUACUGGUUAGCUAGAGUGUGGGGAGAGGAUGGUAGAAUUCCAGGU
This 623-nucleotide ribosomal RNA is filed under the name Acinetobacter calcoaceticus. Its description in RNAcentral is "bacterial SSU rRNA". It matches the Rfam family "Bacterial small subunit ribosomal RNA", at positions 58 to 674 of the family's 1533-position model. The record is from RNAcentral. Lineage: Bacteria; Pseudomonadati; Pseudomonadota; Gammaproteobacteria; Moraxellales; Moraxellaceae.